UAGGGAAUCUUCGGCGAUGGACGAAAGUCUGACCGAGCAACGCCGUGUGAGUGAAGAAGGUUUUCGGAUCGUAAAACUCUGUUGGUAGAGAAGAACGUUGGUGAGAGUGGAAAGCUCAUCAAGUGACGGUAACUACCCAGAAAGGGACGGCUAACUACGUGCCAC
Molecule: ribosomal RNA, 165 nt
Filed under: uncultured bacterium
Lineage: Bacteria
Description: partial 16S rRNA
Rfam family: Bacterial small subunit ribosomal RNA
Source: RNAcentral